RNAcentral lists this ribosomal RNA (428 nucleotides) under uncultured bacterium. RNAcentral describes it as "bacterial SSU rRNA". It matches the Rfam family "Bacterial small subunit ribosomal RNA", at positions 355 to 774 of the family's 1533-position model. The record is from RNAcentral.
UGGGGAAUAUUGCACAAUGGGGGAAACCCUGAUGCAGCAACGCCGCGUGAGUGAAGAAGGUUUUCGGAUCGUAAAGCUCUGUUUUCAGGGACGAACGGCAGAAAUAUGAAUAAUAUAUCUGCAUGACGGUACCUGAGGAGGAAGCCACGGCUAACUACGUGCCAGCAGCCGCGGUAAUACGUAGGUGGCAAGCGUUGUCCGGAAUUAUUGGGCGUAAAGGGCGUGUAGGCGGGAUAAUAAGUCUGUUGUAAAAGUGCGGGGCUAAACCCCGUAAGGUCAAUGGAAACUGUUAUUCUUGAGUGCAGGAGAGGAGAGUGGAAUUCCCAGUGGAGCGGUGAAAUGCGUAGAUAUUGGGAGGAACACCAGUGGCGAAGGCGACUUUCUGGACUGUGUCUGACGCUGAGGCGCGAAAGCCAGGGGAGCGAACG